UGGAAGUAAUAAUAUAAUAUAAAUAUAUAUAUGCAUGAUAGAAAGGCAUCCACGCGUCGUUUGGUAUGGGGCAUUCGCAGCCGCGUGUUACGAGCCGCCCCACUCACCGUCCCAAAUCCGCCACCUCGUCUAAACCUUAGCUUGGUGGAAACCAAAUGAAAACACAGGUAGCUAGCUAGCUAGCUAGACAAGAAAGUUGCGAAAAUAAUGGUAGUUAAGAGAGCAGGUGGAUGUGGAUCCCCCAAGAAGACAAUGAGCUUGGUGGCUCAACGCCGCCCCCUAAUGAAGAAGACACAACAGUAUUAUUUCAAGAAAGCGUUUGGUUAUCUCUUCUCCGAUGACUACAUGUUUGCACCCUUGCUUUCAUCUCCUACUUCUUCCUUUGCAGGAAUUGAGGAAUCAGCAAAGGUAAAUGGUGAUAAGGAUUUUGUGGAUAAAGUUGGAGAUUAUUUGAAGUCUGAUUGUUACUUGUAUUCUCCAUUGGUUAUUAGCCAACCUUGGCUCAGUUCCAGUGCUCAUGCUGUUGCUAGUCAAAGAGCAGGCUUGCAUUGCCUCUCUGCAAAGAAAGACAUCAGAAGCAUAACUGAUGAGGAGGAUUUGUUGAAAGAAUUAGCUGAUAAAACAGAUAAGCCUGAAGUUGAAAAAACUGCAAUUAGUGUUAGCAAGGAGCAGAAUUUGAAGGGUCUUCCCCACGAUAGAAGCACCAUUAUCAAACGUAGCCGGGUGCACCGAGAAACUGUGAAGCACAUCAUAAAGGAUCUUCCAGAACUGCCUCCUUUGCCCAUGACAGGUUGAAUCCCCAAUCCCAAGGGCUCUCACACCCUAAUCCCGUAGAGUAUGUGGGAACAGGUAAAGAGCUCAUCAAGAAAGGUAUGGUUGAGGCAUGAAGAUUGAUAUGUGUAGCAAUUCAAUGUGAGCUUAGGUUGGUGGUUAUAGUUGUGUAAAUUAGUUUCUAUAUGUUAAGGGAGAGGAUCAUAUCCACAGUACAAAAAUAGCAAGUGUAAGGAAUAAAUGUUAGUGGCCGCCGAAAUGCUUGUGUUCAUUUGUGUUUUGUGUAUAUGCCAAACAAAUUCAAGAUAUAUAGAUUACUUCAAUUUCCAAAUUUCUUUAAAAUAUAUUCUUAAAAACACACAUGCCCAUAAUACAUUAUAAAAAGUUACACCACGCACUAGUUGUGCCGGUACUUGACGGCGCAAUACCCAACAGAGAUACACAAGGCCAUGAAACAGAUGUACUUGUCAAGAAAACGCCCCGACUCGAUCUUUUUGUGUUUUUACUCGAAUCGAUCAGACGUAUAAAUUAAAUCUGGACUUCAAUUCCGGCCAAAAGCAAGACGUACAAACUAAAUCUGGACUUCAAUUUCGGCCAAAAGCAAAACGGCGAUGAGCAGCAGGGUGUUCGGAGUUAUGAUGACAGCAAUAUUGUUGUUAUCAAUCCUGGUGGUCAGUGUGUGCAUGUGAAGUGCGAACGAACACGUACAAUCAAUGGAGCAAUUGCCAGGCGGUCAUCUUUUACAUCACUUUCAACUUUCAUGGCCUUGGGUAUAUCUGUCAAGUACCAGCGCUACUGGCCGGAUGGUGAUUGGUGAGUGCGUGGUUUCACUUUUUUAUGAUGUAUCAUGGGAUUAUGUGUUACGUUUUUAAGAAUAUAUAUAUUCUAUAGAAAUCUGGAAAUUGAAGUAA
Molecule: RNA transcript, 1682 nt
Organism: Ipomoea triloba (trilobed morning glory)
Lineage: Eukaryota; Viridiplantae; Streptophyta; Magnoliopsida; Solanales; Convolvulaceae
Exons: 5
Source: RefSeq, a predicted model, not a curated record